GCGCUCGUGUGAUACGGAGUUUCAUCCGGUAAAGCGAAUGAUUAGAGGAGCUGGGCUCCUUGCGAGCUCAACCUAUUCUCAAACUUUCAAUGGGUGAGACGUCUCGCUGGCUUCACUGCAGCGACGACUCUGAAUCCGAGUGCCCAGUGGGCCACUUUUGGUAAGCAGAACUGGCGAUGCGGGAUGAACCGCAUGUCGAGCUAAGGUGCCUAAGCGGACGCAAAUCAGAUACCAUGAAAGGUGUUGAUUGCUCACGACAGCAGGACGGUGGCCAUGGAAGUCGGCACCCGCUAAGGAGUGUGUAACAACUCACCUGCCGAAGCAAUCAGCCCUGAAAAUGGAUGGCGCUAAAGCGUUCCACCGAUGCUCGACCGUCGUCGGCAUGCGACGCGCUUGCCGCGUCUGAAGCCACGACGAGUAGGGCGGCGCAGUGGUGAGCGUUGAAGGCGUAGCCGUGAGGCUAGCUGGAGCCGCCAUUGGUGCAGAUCUUGGUGGUAGUAGCAAAUACACAAGCAAGAUCCUUGUGGACCGAUGUGGAGAAGGGUUCCGCGCGAACAGUACUUGGACGUGGGUGAGUCGGCCCUAAGCCAACGGGUAAUUCCCGCAUCCCGUGUUUAUCAUCUAUYWWWWUGAGCAACAUGGGUUGAU
Molecule: ribosomal RNA, 648 nt
Filed under: Euraphia sp. 2 MPL-2012
Lineage: Eukaryota; Metazoa; Arthropoda; Thecostraca; Balanomorpha; Chthamalidae
Description: eukaryotic LSU rRNA
Rfam family: Eukaryotic large subunit ribosomal RNA
Source: RNAcentral